UUUUGGGCCAUCACCAGAAAUACCUCUCAUAUUCUCACACCCUUACCCUAGCCCUUACCUCUCUGGUCUUCUUCAGCUAUGGUGGCUUUGAUCUUUUCCCUGGUCAUUGGAAAAGUAAAGCCAAAACCUUGGAUUCCUCCUUACAAGCCACGGCUACUCCCAAGUCCCAACCUUGUCUCACCUUUAUCAAUAAUAAACCCUUUAAACCUCUCAAACAAAUCCCAUAGCUCAACCUUCUAUUUCUCCCAAAAGACCCCAACUUUUCUCACUCUCACCAGAUUUGGUCACAAAUCAACAAACCCCGUCACACCCAGAAGAGUAUUCACCCUUAAAUGCAAGGAAAGCAACUCAGUUGAGGUACUGGACAGGCUCAUCUCAGCAGGUUCUUACUUUUACUCUUUCUUUGAUGCAAUUCCAAGGCGAGGCAAGACCCAACUCGAGGUAACGAAACACAUUCUUGGCAUGUAAACACUGCGUCCGUUCCUGCUUCCAGAAAAGGUUGUUUCAGUGUUUUGCAAAAGACCCAGAAGUUAUAUUUGGAGGUUUCACCUAGCAGACAGAGCUGUAUCUGCUGUGAGGUUGAUGAGAACAGAGCUAGGUGGCGCAUUUGCUGACCUGACCUGACCUUCUUAAUGAGAAAGGGAAAGGUUAUGGUGAUUAUGAGAUGGGAUAUGUAGAAAGGACUCUUGGCUUUCGCACAAGGGAUCUAGAAGAUGAUGGUCUUAGAUUGGUUACUGGUAUAGUUGGAGGAACAAUCCGCUGGAGGCGAUAUCUAGACCAUUUGAUCAGUUAAUUAUGCCAUGAGAAGACUUUUAGCAGCAUGGAACCUCUACUCUUACAGAUUCUAUGGAUUGGUUUCUAUGAGAUUGUUAAGCUAGACAUGCCACCAGAUGCUGCUGUGUGGAAAAGGGUAGUCCCAUUUUCCGGUACUACGUUAUGUCAUUAUAGAAACGGAGUCCAAAAUCCAUUGUUAAGUAGGAGAAUACCUCCACUCCAUAUGACUGGGCCAUUGGAAUGGAAGCUCUCCAAUCUCGGAGCUUACUUUUUCAGGUUAAAUGCCCAUCUUCUUUCACACCUUUGAGGUAUGAACCUUCCCUUCCCUUCCCGUUAGUACUUUAUCUUUUUCUUUCUGGUAAUGCCAUUUUUGUUGUUUUAGAAUACAAUUCUGUAUAUAAUCAAGAACAAGGUUGUGUGGCCUAAAGCAAGCCUUCCUUCAUAAACACAUUUCCAUCGAGUAAGAUUUCUUAGGAAAGUCCUUCAAUCUCUUCAAAUGCCAAAGUAUUAAAAAAAAUGACACGUUAAUCUGUCAUUACAAUUAGUAUUAGUUGCAGAAUAACAUUGAUUUGUUUACAGCCA
Humulus lupulus (European hop) is the source of this 1356-nucleotide long non-coding RNA. RefSeq lists it as uncharacterized. NCBI's taxonomy places the organism in Eukaryota, Viridiplantae, Streptophyta, Magnoliopsida, Rosales, Cannabaceae. The record is from RefSeq and is a predicted model, not a curated record. The transcript has 5 exons.